Molecule: microRNA precursor, 100 nt
Filed under: Gorilla gorilla gorilla (western lowland gorilla)
Lineage: Eukaryota; Metazoa; Chordata; Mammalia; Primates; Hominidae
Description: miRNA (ENSGGOG00000040934.1)
Source: RNAcentral
UGAGGCAGGAGAAUUGCUUGAACCCAGGAGGCGGAGGUUGCAGUGAGCCGAGAUCACGCCACUGCACUCCAGCCUGGGUGACAGAGCGAGACUCCGUCUC